AUGAUCACAUAAUUUCGGCUUCUUGCAUUCCAGUGCCAUUCUGGAACGCAUCUCGGUCGGUGUGUACAGGAACUAAUUAUUUGCUCAAGAAAACAGAUAUUAACCAAUUAUUCAUCUAAAGUAUAUAAUAUAAGAAAAGGGGGAUAGUACAACUAAUACAUAGACACUUUAAAUAGACAUAUAUAAUCACAAAUAUCAGAAGGAACAUUAUAUUAGUAUUGUUAUUAAGAGUCCUCAACUGCACUAAAUUUG
Molecule: non-coding RNA, 252 nt
Organism: Pelobates cultripes (western spadefoot toad)
Lineage: Eukaryota; Metazoa; Chordata; Amphibia; Anura; Pelobatidae
Source: the annotation of a GenBank genome assembly